UUUUUUCAAUAUCAACUCGGUUCUGGUGGGGAUCAGCCAUCAGAGGUAAGGGGGAAAGUCCGGUGUAAAUCCGGCGCUGUCCCGCAACUGUAAUGGGGCUUAUGCCUCAAAGUCAGAAUGCCCGCCGAAAGUACAACAAAUUC
Molecule: non-coding RNA, 143 nt
Filed under: Nostoc sp.
Lineage: Bacteria; Bacillati; Cyanobacteriota; Cyanophyceae; Nostocales; Nostocaceae
Also listed under: 1 other name
Source: RNAcentral